GGGUGGGAUCAUACCAGCGUUAAUGCACCGGAUCCCAUCAGAACUCCGCAAUUAAGCACGCUUGGGCCGUAGUAGUACUGGGAUGGGUGACCUCCUGGGAAGUCCUGGUGUUGCACCCU
Picea glauca (white spruce) is the source of this 119-nucleotide non-coding RNA. Lineage: Eukaryota; Viridiplantae; Streptophyta; Pinopsida; Pinales; Pinaceae. The record is from Rfam.